CAGGAUCAAAAUGUUUUCAUUUCUUUUGUUCAUUCUUCUGUUCCAGACCUCACAUUCCAGUCAGCAAACUAGUGGUUUCAGAAUCCUAUGACACUUAUAUCAAUAGAAGUUUCCAAGUAACAAAAGAAAUUAUAAGUGAAUGUAAAAGUAAAGGUAGGUGGUAUUAUUUUGGACUCCAUAUUUAAAUAUGUCACUAUUUCUCUAUCAUGGCUAAUAGGGCUACUCAAGAUGCUUGCAGUUGCUUUGACAGACUUGCUUAAUAGGAAAGAAAUAUAUUUCUAGCUCUCUUCUAAAUUCUUUGACAUUGAAUUUGUAAUAUUCUCUGAGUAUCUAAAAUGGUAGGAAUCCCAGGGGAACACACUAGACUUAAUUACUUAUAUUUAAUAACUUAGAUUCUGCAUAGUAGCUGGCCAUCUUGCACCCUACCAAGAGGACUCCCCAUUGCAAUUUCCAGAAGGUCUCUAGAAUAACACUGUUUGCCUAUAAUUAACCAGAGAGCAUGGACAUUCACAUAUAAAACCAUCUACACAAGCUGAACAUUGGUACCACACACCUGUAAUCCCAGCAGCUUGGGGGGCUAAGGCAGUAGGAUCAGGAGUUCAAAGCCAGCCUUAGCAAAUUAGCAAGACCCUAAGCAACAUCUACCCAAACACAUGUAUUAGCUAUGCUGCCACCAAGAGAAGGGUAUGUAAGGCUCAAGUCUGUUUGCUGUUACAUUUUCCAAAGAUUGGGUUCAAAUAUUUAAUGAUAUUUCUGACUGACUGUUGGCUAUAGAUUUCAAGCUAAUUUAUUUAUAUUCAUAGAGCAAAAACUAUAAUUAUGUGCACAAAAAUGUUGACAGUAGAUAGCCCUGAGCAACAGUAGAUGGUUGUCCAUCUACUGUUCCAGUUAUCACUCAUAAGCUGCUCACUACCAUGAAGGUAAACAGCAUGUGCUAAUAGCUAGGAGGUCUCCAGUGCUCACAAUUCUCUAGUGGCAACAUUUCACUCUGUGUUAGAAGGACUGGCCCAGGGGCCCUGUGGAUGCAGAGGACUUCUGCUUCUUGAUUCUCAUGGUGCUUACACACAGUUAUGCACGUGGGAGAGUGACACAGAACUAUAUACUCAUACACAGUGACUGCCUGGUGAGCCAAAUAGCCAAGCAGAUUGUAACUGUGUCCAUCUCCUGGUUUUGAUAGUGUAGUAUGCCUGGGUUUGAUCCCCAGCACACACACACACACACACAAAAAAAAAAAAAAAAAACAACCCUCAAGAGUUGAUAGUGUAGCAUGGUUAUGAACAAUGUAACCACAAGGGAAGGCUUCAUGAGACCUCCAUUGUGUGUAUAUAUGUAUGUAUGUGUAACCUCCUGUAGAUGAAUCUAUAAUUCUAUAAAAAAAAAUUUGUUUCCCUUUUUCUUUUAUUUAUUUUGGUACUGGAAAUCAAACCCAGGGUUAUGUGCAUGCUAGGCAAGUAUUCUGCAACUGAGCUGUAUUCCAAGCCCCUUUUUAAAUUUUUUAAAUAAACAUAUAAUAAAUAUGUUUUAUUGGUUACAAUAUGAUAUUUCAAUACAUGUAUACAAUGUAUAAUAAUUUAAUCAGGGUGAUUAACUUUUCCCCUCUCCUUAAAUAUUUACCAUUUCUUUGUGUUGUUUAUAAUUAUUUUAAGACAAAAAGUUGUUUUUUUGUUUUUGUUUUAUUUAAAAUCAUGAAGAAUUUUCAAAGUGUUGCUUGGCUGGGCAAAUUGCCUUUUUUUUUUUUUUUUUGAGAUAGGGUCUUGCUAAGUUGCUGAGGGUCUGUCUAAGUUGCCCAGGCUGGCUUCCAGCUUGCAGUUCUCCUGCCUCAGCCUCCCUGGGAUUACAGGCUUGCUCCACUCUGCCUGGUUUUGUCUUCUUUUUGAGAAUGUUGAUCCCUCCCCAGAACAUGAAUCUUCCAGAAUUUACAAAGUUUACAUAUGUCUUUAUAGAAAUGGCCUUCCCAUUCUUUGCCUUUGUCCCCAGGAAAUAACAUUCUGAUUGUGGCCCAUGCAUCUUCCCUUGAAGCAUGUACCUGUCAGCUGCAGGGCCUGUCACCUCAGAAUUCCAAGGACUUCGUACAAAUGGUCAGAAAGGUAAUUCAGUCUUGAACUUAUGGGACUCAUGGUGCCUAGUAGUUUAAUAAGACUUCAGCGACUGGCUUUUGGCUCAUUAUUUGAAGCAUGUAUUUAUGCUGAGCUAGGAAGAUUCACUUAUUGAUUUACUCAGCCAAGAUGCAUUGAGUGGGACUCUGUAAAGCACUUUAUUAGAUCUUGUGUAAGAGAAAAAGAUGUGUUAACGACAAUUCCAGCUUCUCAGAGCUAACAUUUAGGAAGCAGCUAAGAAUUACAAGCAAUGAGGGACCUUGGAGUGGAUAAGGAGAGUUAGUCUAACACAGCUGAAAGCUUAGCUAGGUGAGCGGUUCUCGCAAGCCUGCAGGCCAAGGAAAGCAACAAGUGAUGGUGGUCAGGCCACAGGCAAACCCAGUAACAAGACAAAACCCCAGGAGGUUGACCUGUGCAUCUGAAUUCUUCCUUUUCAUGCCUAUAGAAAGGGUUUUUGGUCAGUCACCUACCAUGUAAGGCAGCUACUUCCUUUCUGUGCCACCGGAAAGGAAACUCAAUUGCAACUCUCUUCUCAUUUUUAAACAGGUUAUUUAUGUGUCCUCCCCACUAGUCUGUAAGAUGCUGGAGGGCAGGGAUUAUUAUAAAUGUAGCUCUGGACACAUAUGCAAAAAUAUAUUUUAAAAUUGCCAUAACAACUGAUAAUAGCAAGGGCAGAACUUCUGCUUUGAAUGUCAAAGAUAUGUGUGCCCCCCCCCAAAAAAAAGAUAAAGCAAGGGUGAAACAAAUGAUUAAAAAUUAAAUGAUCUUUGCCAUUGAGUUCAAGUACAAUUUCAAAAAUGUUCAAAGAAAAAAGAAAUGUUCAAGGUGCCUUUUUAACUUGACGUGCAAUUUGGGAUUGAUGUGGAAUUAGGGAUUAACUUCUGGAACUCAGCUUCGUGGUAGCCUCCUUAUCCAAGAUUUCACUUUCUGAAGUUGUAGUUACCUGUGACCAAACACAAUCCAAAGAUACAAUCCUGCACAGUAAGAUAUUUUGAGAAAGAAAAAGACUACACUCAUAUCUUUUAUUACAGUAUAUUGUUAGUUAUUCUAUUUUAUCUAUUAUUGUUGUUAAUCCCUUACUGUGCCUAAUUUAUAAAUCAAAUCUUAUUAUAGGUAUGUACAUAUAGUGGGGCAAAAAACAGCAUAUAGAGAAUUGGGUAUUAUCCAAGGUUCCAGACAUCCACUAGGGGUUUUGGAAUGUAUCCAAAGUGAAUAAAGUGGGGUGAGAGGGAAUAUUGUAUAUGUUUUGUUCUCUUGUCUCCCACCCUAUCAAGCAGCAAUCUAUAAACUAAACAACUUAUAGCAGGGGAUUCAUGGUUUGAUAGAUCCUUCUGAUGAAUCCUGCUGCACUGUAAAUACUCUUCCCUCUCAUUUAUCAGCUCUAUCCAUGUCGUUUAUUGACUUUUGAAGAGGAUACAUUUCUACAAAGCCCCUGUUCUAGAGCCACUUUGUGUCAUAUCUUUGUGUCUAGGUGAAAGUUUAAGCAUUGACCCUCUGUCUUCCAUUUUUCCUUUUGUACUACUUUAACUUCAGAUCCCAUACCUAGGCUUUUGCUCCUGUGAAGAACUAGGAGAAACUGGAAUAUGGCAGCUAACAGAUCCCCCCAUCCUUCCCCUGACUCAUGGACCAACAGGGGGCUUCAACUGGAGAGAGACCUUGCUGCAAGAGUAAGCCACAAAGGGAUUGAAGAAAAGGCCUUUUGGAGAAGUCUUUGGGGUGUUUAGUAAACAGUGGAAAACUCCAUACCACAUUCUAAAUGGACAGCUCAGAAUAAUCUAGCAUAUUUUCUUUCGUGCUUCAAGUUCUUAUGAUGAGACUGUAAAUGAAAGAAAGACAUGAUUCAGGGAGAAAAUAAAUCCAUUCUCUCUGGACUCUUGCCCAGCUAACAAGGCUUUGGAGAACUGUCUUCCAAAACAGGGACACCCACUGCAGCAGAUGCUGUUGUCCCCCUUCCGCCUAUGCAUGGCUAAGGAACCUCACUCCUCCCCGAAGGAGCUGCCAGCCUGCUCUGUGGAAGGAGUAUGCCCAGAAUGCAGUUUGGGGGCGGGGGUUUCUUCUGAACUCCAUUUUUAAGAUAGGCAAAGCUGAGGAAUCCUUUUAAGGUUAUUAGAAAACAUGCCCCCAAAGGAUGGUCCUUAGGUCACACAUCAAAUUCCACCCUCAGCAGACUCCAUACACCAGUGUUGCUGGCUCAAGACACCUGCUGGAGGACGCUAACAUUUACCCUGGUACUGCCACAUUUUCUCCAGAGCAGCUGGCCCUUCUUGCUUCUAUCUGUGAAAUGGGGAAACAAAGCAUUUUUGCUCUCAAUGUGCUUUUACUUCAUGUGGAAGAUACGUGUGACAUGUUCAAUGGUAGGUGCAGAAAGCUUGCAAACUAUAAAGAGAAUUGGAAUUUCCAUAUCAUAGUCUAAUGAGCCACAGCAAUUCUAAAUCACCAAAAUUUGCUAGUCUUUGUCCCCUAGACUAUGCUACUAUGCUAACUAGUUAAGGAUGUUGACAUUUUGAAAGAAUAUGUUCAAUAAAUUAUUUGAAUAAGCAAGAAGCUCAUUCUGUGCAAUAUGAAUAUCUUUAUAAACCACACCAAGGGCCAGGUUGUUGGAUACUUAUAGUACCUUGUAACCAUAAUAGAACAUCCACAAAUGCACCACUUAUACCAGGGAUGUAUAAUGAAGUCAGGGAACUAAUCUCAAUGCUGACAGUCACAAUGCACUGCUACUUGUGCUGUCCCUUUUUUGUUUGUUUUUCUAUGGUAAUUUAAAAUACAGAGGAGGUAGGGCCACUUGAAGUAAAUUAGAGAACCACAUCCUGUGGUUUCUUGUUAUACCUACUUCCCAUAUUUAAAGGGAGUUUAUUUAAAAGAAAAAAAUGAAUGACAAUCAAACCAAAACAUCAAUGAUCAAUGUCUAUUUAAUUGUGUGAAUAGCUGACUAUUAGGGCCACAGACAAUGGUCUGGUGUGGAAUAGUUCAUUGUGUAGAAUUUGUGUACAAAGUGAAAUCCCAGCCAUUUGAAGGGAACAAUAGUGUAAAGCAAAUCUAUAUAUGUUGUAGAAUAAGUUUUAAAACCCAGACUCAUAAAAUACAUGGCAAAUAAAAACAGACCUAUGCUGGUAAUUAAAAUUGAAAUUUGAUGACCCCUGGAAAGAAGAGGAAGUGAAAGGUUGCUGGCUAUAUGUGUUAAUCAGGGAAAGGGUUCUGGUUGCAUUUUUAAAAGACACUUAGAGAAAUAUGUCACGAAUUCUACAUUUGAAGAAACAGAUUAUGAUUUCUUUUAGCAUUGCACAAAUACCUAUCAACUUUUGGACAUAAAAAUAACCCUUUGCUGACAUAUUAGUAUGUUUAAACCUUAAAAUAACUGAGAGGGAAAUAUUCCAUUACAGUUCUUAAAAAAGAAAAGUCACACUAUAGCUAAUGUAGUGUCCCUGGUAUUUGUAAUGAAGUGAAUCCACCAUUUAAUCAGGUCUAUAAUAUUUAUUGGAUUCACCACAGGUUUUCCUGGGCUUGAGUGCUCAGAAUAUGCUUGAACACUUCACAUCAGAUUUCCUUGACACUUUGAAGUGUGUCCUAGACAGUGUCUUUACUUGUGUAAAAUAGAGUUCAGAAUAGGUUAUCCUCUCCAUCUCCCUCAGUUGUCUUAGUCCUAUGAUGUCCUGAUAAAUCAGUUUGACUGGGCUGCAUUCCAAUGUCCUUAGUCUAAUACGGACACAGCCUUAGGCAACUGCCUACCUGAGCCAAAGGAAGCAGAGAUCUAAAACAAUUUUCUGAAUAAUUUAGGUAGAGAACCCUGAGUACAAGAAAGAGUUUAUUCCCCUGCUUUAACUAUCCAAAUUGCUUAUCAAAAUGGCUGAAUAAUCUGAAUUCACAUUAAAAUCUCUUUUGCACAAUUACCUAUUAAAAAAUUUAACUAUGGACUCCAACUAAGGAAUUCUUUAGAAAUAAUAUUGAAUCUAUGUGUAAUAAAAGAAACAACAGUAUUACCAGAUUUCAUCUUCUUACAAAAAUUAUAAGUUGACAUUACAACCUGAAGUUGUGGCUGGUUCUUUGUGAUUUGAGAUUGAUGCUUAUUAGAAUAAAUGACCUGUAAGGGAAGGAUAAAAAAGAAAAAAAAGGGAGGAAAUGCCAGAAAAGAAUAAUCAAAUGGUUUCUUAUACAAAAGAAAAAAAUUUUAAUGUAGAAAGUUAUCUGAAAUAAACUAGGGGAAACGAAAUUAACUAAAGGAUUUAAUCUGGGAUUACAAAUCUGAAACCGUUUUCUGCUUCUACAAAUGUGUCACAUCAAUCUGCUAAUGCCCCAGUAUUAUUCAUAGAUAGGACUUUGUUUUCCAUGGUUUUAAAAUGCCACAUCUAUUCUGCCAUGGACUAGAAUAAUUGGCACAUUCUAAUGCAUAAACCGAGGGCUCCGUUUUCCCAGGCUCUCUCCGCCAUCACUGCUUUCCUAGUGAGGAGCUUCUUGCCUCGCCCAGUAUGGCGUUGAGAUUACAGUGUUGCCCAUCACAUUUAGAUUCCUGGAAUCUAAAUGGCCAAUUAAAUAGCCAGCUGAUGGCUGAAAGGCUUGGAGGAGUUUCUACUUUUUAUUUUAAUUAUACUUUUAACCAAAGAAUUGUUUUAAAGUUAUCUUAUAUUUGAAAGAUGAUUUUGCAAAAAAAAUAAAUAAAUAAAAAUAAAAAAUAUACCUUCUGGAGUGAUAUCAGUUUGGUAAGUCAUCAUUGAUCAUUUUCUUGUCCGUAGUGUUCCAGACACAUAUAGAUUGUCUUCCCGUUGUGCAUAGCAUUACCAUAAAUGUAUCUUUUCCACUUAACUAGCUGUAUUCGUAUUAAAAUGAAGUUUCUUAUUUCAAUUACCUAGUGUCACUGGGAACUAAUUGAACAGCUACAGGAAGAGAAGUUCCUAUCUCUGUUGCUUUUGUAGAAAGGGUUCCCUGUGUGGUCAAAGGAAAGCGUUCCUCCGUAACCUAGGCACUUGGCAAUGCCAGUGUUUAAUUUAAAAGUAGUGAUGAAUUGCUCUUUUGAAUUUACUCUGAGUAAUGCAUGUGUUGGAAUACAGAUGAACCUCCGUUUAAUUUUCACAGAAAUCAGCACAGUCAACUGUACUGAGUCUUCAUGAAGUUAGAUAAUGAGGCUGGAGUGAUUUGCAUUUAAAUUGUAAUCCAGCACAUGUGUGAGAAAGAAGAGGCGCUUGGCUGACAAGGCUGCUUUAGAGGGAGGGGAGACAGGCGUAGGAGGGCAGGAAAAAGAGCAAUUGAACAUCUAUUUAGGUUAAUGUUCAUGUUACAAAGGUGAUGGGGGAUAUUUUGGUAGGUGACGGCAGAUGCUUUCCAUUUUUAAAUGUAGGAUUAAAAUUGAAUUUGCUUCUCUUUAAUACUUCCACAUAUUGAACUUUCCUUGGAAAGUGACUAGUUAUACUGAAAAUUCAAGGAAAGGGGGAAAAAGAUUUCCUCUAAAUGCAAAGAGAAUAACUUGAUUUUAAAUACAUGUAAUAUUAGGUUUGAUGUAUGUAGGCUUAAAAUUAUAGUGAUGAGUAGUCAAACUUAAUAUGCAAUCAUUCCUUACAAAUAUUUUAUUCGGUACCACUUAGCUGCCAUUACUCACACAAAAAUCAGAAUUUUGCAGCUGUUCAACUAUUCAUGGACUUUGUACAGGAUACAUAUGUGUAAUGAAAAAUGUGUACUGGUUCUUUCUUUUAUUGCCACUCAAGAUGGGAAUAAGAUCCCAAAGCCUUUUGGUUAAUGCAUAGACCAUCCUAAACCUGCUAUUUUGGGGGAGGCAAUUGAGUUCUUUCUCAUUUAUUAAAAACUAUUGUAUCAUUUUUUUUUUCUAUGUGAUUCAAGUGUAUUUAUUUUUUAAAAAAAGUUUGUAAUUAUAAAAAAUAAAACCUCAUUUAACUGUAUUGCCAAAUUUCUUGUUCACUACCCAAGCACACAUGCUUUCCUGGCUGAGAGCUGUCCCCUCCUGAUACAGCUAUGGCACUGUUGUAAUUAGUUCUUUCCAUUCCAGGAGCAUCUCCAUUGAAAUGGUUCAUAGAUGAUUUAAUAAAGAGAAACUGUGUCCUCAGUCAAUCCAGAGCAAUCUCAUAUUAAAUUCUGAAUGGAGUCUAUUCCUAUCCUAUUCUCAGAUGUUAUUGUGG
This 8218-nucleotide long non-coding RNA is filed under the name Marmota monax (woodchuck). The record is from RNAcentral. Lineage: Eukaryota; Metazoa; Chordata; Mammalia; Rodentia; Sciuridae.